RNAcentral lists this microRNA precursor (84 nucleotides) under Bombyx mori (domestic silkworm). RNAcentral's name for it is "mir-2807 microRNA precursor family". It matches the Rfam family "mir-2807 microRNA precursor family". The record is from Rfam by way of RNAcentral. Lineage: Eukaryota; Metazoa; Arthropoda; Insecta; Lepidoptera; Bombycidae.
GUAACUCAAAUUUGUAUGCAGUUGGAACAGCGCCCCUAGCGGCAAACGUAGGCAAACGUUCCAACUCCAUACAAAUUUAAGUUA